Long non-coding RNA from Anastrepha ludens (Mexican fruit fly), 332 nucleotides. RefSeq lists it as uncharacterized. Lineage: Eukaryota; Metazoa; Arthropoda; Insecta; Diptera; Tephritidae. The transcript is spliced from 3 exons. The record is from RefSeq and is a predicted model, not a curated record.
UUGGGACUUUUAUAGUUAGAAUGGUGGGUUCUUCCUCUUUCCAAUGUAGGUGUAUGCCCCCCACCUGUUUACACGAAAUGAUUUUUAGUUUCAAUUUCAUUCACCACGCUAGUCUAGACACCGAUAACCUCUGUGUCAUCCUCAGGGAGGAAGGCAUUGAUAUCUGCUUCAUCCAAUAACCCUGGGUUCGGCAGUCUAAGAUCAUGGGCCUCCAGAGCAAACUCUACGAUAUUUUCUAUGUCCAGUCGAAAGCUCACCAGACGUGGUUUAUGCAUACAUGCAAACAAAUGCAUUAAGAAUUGACGGCAACCUCUAGCUUACUACUCCUGCAU